Molecule: ribosomal RNA, 492 nt
Filed under: uncultured bacterium
Lineage: Bacteria
Description: partial 16S ribosomal RNA
Rfam family: Bacterial small subunit ribosomal RNA
Source: RNAcentral
AGUGAACGCUGGCGGUAGGCCUAACACAUGCAAGUCGAACGGCAGCACAGUAAGGGCUUGCUCUUACGGGUGGCGAGUGGCGGACGGGUGAGGAAUACAUCGGAAUCUACUUUUUCGUGGGGGAUAACGUAGGGAAACUUACGCUAAUACCGCAUACGACCUACGGGUGAAAGCAGGGGAUCUUCGGACCUUGCGCGAUUGAAUGAGCCGAUGUCGGAUUAGCUAGUUGGCGGGGUAAAGGCCCACCAAGGCGACGAUCCGUAGCUGGUCUGAGAGGAUGAUCACCCACACUGGAACUGAGACACGGUCCAGACUCCUACGGGAGGCAGCAGUGGGGAAUAUUGGACAAUGGGCGCAAGCCUGAUCCAGCCAUACCGCGUGGGUGAAGAAGGCCUUCGGGUUGUAAAGCCCUUUUGUUGGGAAAGAAAAGCAGCAGGUUAAUACCCCGCUGUUCUGACGGUACCCAAAGAAUAAGCACCGGCUAACUUCGUG